CCCUUAGAUGUUCUGGGCCGCACGCGCGCUACACUGAUGCAUUCAACGAGUCUAAAACCUGCUCUGAUAGGGGUGGGUAAUCUUUUGAAUGUGCAUCGUGAUUGGGAUAGAUGAUUGCAAUUUUUCAUCUUCAACGAGGAAUGCCUAGUAAACGCAAGUCAUCAGCUUGCAUUGAUUACGUCCCUGCCCUUUGUACACACCGCCCGUCGCUCCUACCGAUUGAAUGAUCCGAUGAAUAUCAUGGGUUGAGGAUGCAAGCAGGUUCGCCUGUCUUCAUCUUCGAGAAGUGAAGUAAAUCUUAUCAUUUAGAGGAAGGAGAAGUCGUAACA
Molecule: ribosomal RNA, 329 nt
Filed under: uncultured eukaryote
Lineage: Eukaryota
Description: partial 18S ribosomal RNA
Rfam family: Eukaryotic small subunit ribosomal RNA
Source: RNAcentral